CAGCCCAGAGCCUGAAUCAGUGUGUGUGUUAGUGGAAGCGUCUGGAAAGGCGCGCGAUACAGGGUGACAGCCCCGUACACAAAAAUGCACAUACUGUGAGCUCGAUGAGUAGGGCGGGACACGUGGUAUCCUGUCUGAAUAUGGGGGGACCAUCCUCCAAGGCUAAAUACUCCUGACUGACCGAUAGUGAACCAGUACCGUGAGGGAAAGGCGAAAAGAACCCCGGCGAGGGGAGUGAAAAAGAACCUGAAACCGUGUACGUACAAGCAGUGGGAGCACAGAGCAAUCUGUGUGACUGCGUACCUUUUGUAUAAUGGGUCAGCGACUUAUAUUCUGUAGCAAGGUUAACCGAAUAGGGGAGCCGAAGGGAAACCGAGUCUUAACUGGGCGUUAAGUUGCAGGGUAUAGACCCGAAACCCGGUGAUCUAGCCAUGGGCAGGUUGAAGGUUGGGUAACACUAACUGGAGGACCGAACCGACUAAUGUUGAAAAAUUAGCGGAUGACUUGUGGCUGGGGGUGAAAGGCCAAUCAAACCGGGAGAUAGCUGGUUCUCCCCGAAAGCUAUUUAGGUAGCGCCUCGUGAAUUCAUCUCCGGGGGUAGAGCACUGUUUCGGCAAGGGGGUCAUCCCGACUUACCAACCCGAUGCAAACUGCGAAUACCGGAGAAUGUUAUCACGGGAGACACACGGCGGGUGCUAACGUCCGUCGUGAAGAGGGAAACAACCCAGACCGCCAGCUAAGGUCCCAAAGUCAUGGUUAAGUGGGAAACGAUGUGGGAAGGCCCAGACAGCCAGGAUGUUGGCUUAGAAGCAGCCAUCAUUUAAAGAAAGCGUAAUAGCUCACUGGUCGAGUCGGCCUGCGCGGAAGAUGUAACGGGGCUAAACCAUGCAC
RNAcentral lists this ribosomal RNA (891 nucleotides) under Escherichia coli. RNAcentral's name for it is "partial 23S ribosomal RNA". It matches the Rfam family "Bacterial large subunit ribosomal RNA", at positions 293 to 1194 of the family's 2925-position model. Lineage: Bacteria; Pseudomonadati; Pseudomonadota; Gammaproteobacteria; Enterobacterales; Enterobacteriaceae. The record is from RNAcentral.